CCUGGCUCAGGAUGAACGCUAGCUACAGGCUUAACACAUGCAAGUCGAGGGGCAGCAUGGUCUUAGCUUGCUAAGGCCGAUGGCGACCGGCGCACGGGUGAGUAACACGUAUCCAACCUGCCGUCUACUCUUGGACAGCCUUCUGAAAGGAAGAUUAAUACAAGAUGGCAUCAUGAGUCCGCAUGUUCACAUGAUUAAAGGUAUUCCGGUAGACGAUGGGGAUGCGUUCCAUUAGAUAGUAGGCGGGGUAACGGCCCACCUAGUCUUCGAUGGAUAGGGGUUCUGAGAGGAAGGUCCCCCACAUUGGAACUGAGACACGGUCCAAACUCCUACGGGAGGCAGCAGUGAGGAAUAUUGGUCAAUGGGCGAGAGCCUGAACCAGCCAAGUAGCGUGAAGGAUGACUGCCCUAUGGGUUGUAAACUUCUUUUAUAAAGGAAUAAAGUCGGGUAUGGAUACCCGUUUGCAUGUACUUUAUGAAUAAGGAUCGGCUAACUCCGUGCCAGCAGCCGCGGUAAUACGGAGGAUCCGAGCGUUAUCCGGAUUUAUUGGGUUUAAAGGGAGCGUAGAUGGAUGUUUAAGUCAGUUGUGAAAGUUUGCGGCUCAACCGUAAAAUUGCAGUUGAUACUGGAUAUCUUGAGUGCAGUUGAGGCAGGCGGAAUUCGUGGUGUAGCGGUGAAAUGCUUAGAUAUCACGAAGAACUCCGAUUGCGAAGGCAGCCUGCUAAGCUGCAACUGACAUUGAGGCUCGAAAGUGUGGGUAUCAAACAGGAUUAGAUACCCUGGUAGUCCACACGGUAAACGAUGAAUACUCGCUGUUUGCGAUAUACAGCAAGCGGCCAAGCGAAAGCGUUAAGUAUUCCACCUGGGGAGUACGCCGGCAACGGUGAAACUCAAAGGAAUUGACGGGGGCCCGCACAAGCGGAGGAACAUGUGGUUUAAUUCGAUGAUACGCGAGGAACCUUACCCGGGCUUAAAUUGCAGAUGAAUUACGGUGAAAGCCGUAAGCCGCAAGGCAUCUGUGAAGGUGCUGCAUGGUUGUCGUCAGCUCGUGCCGUGAGGUGUCGGCUUAAGUGCCAUAACGAGCGCAACCCUUGUUGUCAGUUACUAACAGGUUCCGCUGAGGACUCUGACAAGACUGCCAUCGUAAGAUGUGAGGAAGGUGGGGAUGACGUCAAAUCAGCACGGCCCUUACGUCCGGGGCUACACACGUGUUACAAUGGGGGGUACAGAGGGCCGCUACCACGCGAGUGGAUGCCAAUCCCCAAAACCUCUCUCAGUUCGGACUGGAGUCUGCAACCCGACUCCACGAAGCUGGAUUCGCUAGUAAUCGCGCAUCAGCCACGGCGCGGUGAAUACGUUCCCGGGCCUUGUACACACCGCCC
Molecule: ribosomal RNA, 1382 nt
Filed under: uncultured bacterium
Lineage: Bacteria
Description: bacterial SSU rRNA
Rfam family: Bacterial small subunit ribosomal RNA
Source: RNAcentral